Molecule: ribosomal RNA, 465 nt
Filed under: uncultured bacterium
Lineage: Bacteria
Description: partial 16S ribosomal RNA
Rfam family: Bacterial small subunit ribosomal RNA
Source: RNAcentral
GACGAACGCUGGCGGCGUGCUUAACACAUGCAAGUCGAACGGAAAGGCCCUGCUUGCAGGGUACUCGAGUGGCGAACGGGUGAGUAACACGUGGGUGAUCUGCCCUGCACUUCGGGAUAAGCCUGGGAAACUGGGUCUAAUACCGGAUAGGAGCCAUUUUUAGUGUGAUGGUUGGAAAGUUUUUUCGGUGUAGGAUGAGCUCGCGGCCUAUCAGCUUGUUGGUGGGGUAAUGGCCUACCAAGGCGGCGACGGGUAGCCGGCCUGAGAGGGUGGACGGCCACAUUGGGACUGAGAUACGGCCCAGACUCCUACGGGAGGCAGCAGUGGGGAAUAUUGCACAAUGGGCGCAAGCCUGAUGCAGCGACGCCGCGUGGGGGAUGACGGCCUUCGGGUUGUAAACUCCUUUCGCUAGGGACGAAGCUUUUUGUGACGGUACCUAGAGAAGAAGCACCGGCUAACUACGCG